RNAcentral lists this ribosomal RNA (23 nucleotides) under Anaptychia palmatula. RNAcentral's name for it is "partial 18S ribosomal RNA". The record is from RNAcentral. Lineage: Eukaryota; Fungi; Ascomycota; Lecanoromycetes; Caliciales; Physciaceae.
UGACCUGCGGAAGGACAUUACCG